CGAACGGGUGAGUAACGCGUGAGGAACCUGCCUCAAAGAGGGGGACAACAGUUGGAAGCGACUGCUAAUACCGCAUAAGCCCACGGCUCGGCAUCGAGCAGAGGGAAAAGGAGCAAUCCGCUUUGAGAUGGCCUCGCGUCCGAUUAGCUAGUUGGUGAGGUAACGGCCCACCAAGGCGACGAUCGGUAGCCGGACUGGGAGGUUGAACGGCCACAUUGGGACUGAGACACGGCCCAG
Molecule: ribosomal RNA, 237 nt
Filed under: uncultured bacterium
Lineage: Bacteria
Description: partial 16S ribosomal RNA
Rfam family: Bacterial small subunit ribosomal RNA
Source: RNAcentral